RNAcentral lists this ribosomal RNA (377 nucleotides) under uncultured delta proteobacterium. RNAcentral's name for it is "bacterial SSU rRNA". It matches the Rfam family "Bacterial small subunit ribosomal RNA", at positions 521 to 896 of the family's 1533-position model. Lineage: Bacteria; Deltaproteobacteria. The record is from RNAcentral.
UAACACGGGGGGUGCAAGCGUUAUUCGGAAUUAUUGGGCGUAAAGGGCGCGCAGGCGGUCUUGUCAGUCAGAUGUGAAAGCCCGGGGCUCAACCCCGGAAGUGCAUUUGAAACAGCAAGACUUGAGUACGGGAGAGGAAAGCGGAAUUCCUGGUGUAGAGGUGAAAUUCGUAGAUAUCAGGGGGAACACCGAUGGCGAAGGCAGCUUUCUGGACCGAUACUGACGCUGAGGCGCGAAGGCGUGGGUAGCGAACAGGAUUAGAUACCCUGGUAGUCCACGCAGUAAACGAUGUUCACUAGGUGCAGCGUGUAUUAAAACAUGCUGUGCCGGAGCUAACGCAUUAAGUGAACCGCCUGGGGAGUACGGUCGCAAGACUA